Long non-coding RNA from Homo sapiens (human), 1143 nucleotides. Ensembl annotates it as ubiquitin B pseudogene 4. Its record names the gene UBBP4. NCBI's taxonomy places the organism in Eukaryota, Metazoa, Chordata, Mammalia, Primates, Hominidae. The record is from Ensembl.
GCACGCGCCGACAGAAACUAACAGACAUUAACCAACAGCGAUUCCGUCGCGUUUACUUGGGAGGAAGGCGGAAAAGAGGUCAAAAUGCGGAUCUUCGUGAAAACCCUUACCGGCAAGAUCAUCACCCUUGAAGUGGAGCCCAGUGCCACUAUCGAAAAUGUCAAAGCCAAAAUCCAAGAUAAAGAAGGCAAUCCCUGUGACCAGCAGAGGCUCAUCUUUGCAGGCAAGCAGCGGGAAGAUGGCCGCAGUCUUUCUGACUACAACAUCCAGAAAGAGUCGACCCUGCAUCUGGUCCUGCGUCGGAGAGGUGGUAUGCAGAUCUUCGUGAAGACCCUGACCGGCAAGACCAUCACCCUGGAAGUGGAGCCCAGUGACACCAUCGAAAAUGUGAAGGCCAAGAUCCAAGAUAAAGAAGGCAUCCCCCCCGACCAGCAGAGGCUCAUCUUUGCAGGCAAGCAGCUGGAAGAUGGCCGCAGUCUUUCUGACUACAACAUCCAGAAAGAGUCGACCCUGCAUCUGGUCCUGCGUCUGAGAGGUGGUAUGCAGAUCUUCGUGAAGACCCUGACCGGCAAGACCAUCACCCUGGAAGUGGAGCCCAGUGACACCAUCGAAAAUGUGAAGGCCAAGAUCCAAGAUAAAGAAGGCAUCCCCCCGAUCAGCAGAGGCUCAUCUUUGCAGGCAAGCAGCUGGAAGAUGGCGGUACUCUUUCUGACUACAACAUCCAGAAGGAGUCGACCCUGCACCUGGUCCUGCGUCUGAGAGGUGGUAUGAAGAUCUUCGUGAAGACCCUGACUGGAAAGACCAUCACCCUGGAGGUGGAGCCCAGUGACACCAUCGAAAAUGUGAAAGCCAAGAUCCAGGAUGAAGAAGGCAUCCCCCCCGAUCAGCAGAGGCUCAUCUUUGCAGGCAAGAAGUUGGAAGAUGGCCGCACUCUUUCUGACUACAGCAUCCAGAAAGAGUCGACCCUGCACCUGGUCCUGCGCCUGAGGGGUGGCUGUUAAUUCUUCAGUCUUGCAUUAGCAGUGCCCACUGAUGGCAUUACUCUGCACUAUAGCCAUUUGCCCCAACUUAGGUUUAGAAAUUACAAGUUUCAGUAAUAGCUGAACCUGUUCAAAAUGUUAAUAAAGGUUUCGUUGAAUGGUA